ACCCCCCGAAACUAAGCGAGCUACUCUAAAACAGCCCAUAGAGCUAACCCAUCCCUAUUGCAAAAGAGUGGGAAGAUUUUAAAGUAGAGGUGACACACCUACCGAGCCUAGAGAUAGCUGGUUAUUCAAAAGACGGAUUUAAGUCCCACUUUAAGUUUUUUUAGCCCACCAAACAACCUUAAAACUUAGAAGUCAUUCAAAUAAGGUACAGCCUAUUUGAACAAGGAGACAACCUACAAUACCGGGUAAUGACUCCCCACUGUGACCAAGUAGGCCUAAAAGCAGCCACCUUCCUAAGAGCGUCCAAGCUUCCUCACAAUCAUUUUUAAUCCCACUAUUUAAUCACAACCCCUAACCACUAUUGAAUGACCCCAUACCCGUAUGGGAGACAUCAUGCUUGAACUAGUAACAAGAAGAUGAACUUCUCCUAAAUGUAAGCAUAAGCCAAAAUGAACCUCUCACCGGCACCUAUCGCUUACCAUAGUAUCAAAUCCGCCCCAAGAAAAUUCUACUACCCAAAGCGUUAACCUUACACUAGA
This 539-nucleotide ribosomal RNA is filed under the name Stumpffia miery. Its description in RNAcentral is "partial 16S ribosomal RNA". The stretch from base 1 to 400 matches the Rfam family "Bacterial large subunit ribosomal RNA", at positions 710 to 1300 of the family's 2925-position model. Lineage: Eukaryota; Metazoa; Chordata; Amphibia; Anura; Microhylidae. The record is from RNAcentral.